RNAcentral lists this ribosomal RNA (468 nucleotides) under uncultured bacterium. RNAcentral describes it as "partial 16S ribosomal RNA". It matches the Rfam family "Bacterial small subunit ribosomal RNA", at positions 28 to 507 of the family's 1533-position model. The record is from RNAcentral.
GACGAACGCUGGCGGCGUGCUUAACACAUGCAAGUCGAACGGAAAGGCCCUGCUUUUGUGGGGUGCUCGAGUGGCGAACGGGUGAGUAACACGUGAGUAACCUGCCCUUGACUUUGGGAUAACUUCAGGAAACUGGGGCUAAUACCGGAUAGGAGCUCCUGCUGCAUGGUGGGGGUUGGAAAGUUUCGGCGGUUGGGGAUGGACUCGCGGCUUAUCAGCUUGUUGGUGGGGUAGUGGCUUACCAAGGCUUUGACGGGUAGCCGGCCUGAGAGGGUGACCGGCCACAUUGGGACUGAGAUACGGCCAAGACUCCUACGGGAGGCAGCAGUGGGGAAUAUUGCAAAAGGGGCGGAAGCCGGAUGCAGCAACGCCGCGUGCGGGAUGACGGCCUUCGGGUUGUAAACCGCUUUCGCCUGUGACGAAGCGUGAGUGACGGUAAUGGGUAAAGAAGCACCGGCUAACUACGUG